UAGGCCUUCUAGGUACUGGAGGGGGACCCCAGGGCUAUAAGGUUGAACAACUCAUCUCUCCCAGCCUCCACUUGGGAGUAUUUACUCCCCUCCCACCACAGCAGUUGCCUGAGAUUUUCAUGCCUAUAACUUGCUCCUCCGGAAGGAGAUCUCUCUCUCAAAGCAGCUGCACUUGCAGGUACAUUAUUGCUUAAGUGUGGAAGCUCUGCCCCACUCAAUUAACCCAGAUUUGCACAUGAGACAGAGGCGGACACACUGUUCCUUGGCUUUACUACUCCAUGUGUCUGCAAAGGGGAUGAAAACAGAAGCUGGGCAGUGCUCCAUGUGCUCCAGAAGACAGGGCAGCACCCUCAGAAAGAACUACUGCUUAUUCUCCAACAGCUACUCUCCCAAACAAGGAGCAGCUUCAGGCAGACCACUCCAUCUUCUGCUCUGCUUCUUGGCCUACCUCAUGAACAGCUUUGCUAAACUAUGAAGCUCUGUGGAAAACAGGAAGUUUCCAAUAUAAAAUCCUAAUUGUUGUUGGGAAAAAAACAAACAAACAAAAAAAAAAAAAAAACACUAUUAACUUGAAAAGCACAUAUUUUCACACAAUGGCUGUCACAAAUAAUGAAAGCUGUUCAGAUGAAAGUUAAGAAAUGUUAGGUCUUGACCAAAAUUAUUUUAUGAGGAAAAAUAUUUUUAUUUUUAGAAAAUAAAGCCUGAGUUCUCAAUCAAAACAUUGACAGCAAAACAGCCAGGAACAGUAAAUUCUCAAUACAGAACAAAUAUUCUCCUUGUGAUAUUCUCCUUGUGUGUAAACAGAGUGACAGAUACAACAGAAUGGCCUGCAAGAUUGGCAGCAAUAAGUAAAUAUUUAACAGAGAGCUGCCAUAUAAUAGAAACACAUCUCUCCCCAGUCAGCAGGCACCAGGUCUUUGGUGGAUAAGCUAAUGUCAGGCAGCAGGAUGUUUAGGUGGUCUUGAAGUCCUAUAACCACACUGAAUAUCAAACAAGUUCGGACAACACGGAUCGACCCUAAAUGGAGCUCGCCUCUUCCUUCUCUUCUUGCCAGAAGAACAGCAGGUACCACAGGGAUGUGGUAGAAGAGAUGGAUUUUGGGGCACAGCAUCACGGGGCAGGCACCAAGUCCUUCAUAAGCUGCAUGAGUGACGUAAAAUAUUCAGAUACACACACACAAGAACUGUGGGAUGUUGCCUAGCCAUUCCUAGUCUGAGCAGCAAACUGAGGUUCCUAGAAGAGGAAGGAGAUGGAAAGCUACCUUUUAUUUCUGAGCUGUACUCUCUACUCCCUCCCUCAGCUCCAGGACUGAACCUGAGGCUCCCUCUGCUGAGCCUGCCACAUAGCUGAUAGCUGGAUGAUCUGGAUGAUAGCCGAUGUCUGCUGGAUCCAGGCUCCAGAGGUGGUCUGUAAAAUCCUCGAACCUUCCGCACCUUCAUCUCAUGCUCCAGCACAAGGCAAAGGACAGUCCACACACUCCACAGCCAGAAGAGGACCUCUUUUUCUGCUCCACCACCAGUGAAAAGGGAGACGGAGGUGCAGAAUGAGAAAGCCAACUCCAGGAGGAAUUUUUCCUCAGAUAAAUGUAUACAUGUACAUGUAUAGGUACCUGUGUAUACUAUAGCACGAGCACUCACACAUCUCCAAACUCUUAUAAGAAGUCACUGUUGCAGUGUCACUGAAGGGCUCUGGUUGAGUCAGGCUCAGUGUCUGGGCUGAAGAACCACCAGUAACUGCUCAAGCACACCUUCUCCCGUUAACUGCAGAGAAGCUCUAGCAAAGUAGGGCUAAAAGGAUCCCUCAGUUUCAAAGCAGAUUUUGGGGAUCUCUGUAUCUCUGUAUGCAGAACAAAGUGUUUUGCCAGCUGGAAGACAAAAUAUAACAUGAACCAGAAUUUUAUUUUUGACCAAUGUCACUAACAGGCAAUGACUACCACUGUCACUUUUUCCAUUUUACAUCCCCACCCCCCCAAAAAAAAAAAAAAAAAAAAAGUAAGAAUAACCUGUUGAAUAGUUAGAGUUCUUUUUCUUCUCUGCAGUACGUUACCCCCCAGUUGGUUAUACAUCUUCAUAACCAGUCUUUCCUGGUCUCAGAGCCUCAUAUUUCUACAUAUCCUUCAUUUCCAUCCUUCUCACACUGUGUCUUUCCAAAAUAAGGUCUUUUUCCCACACUCAUAAAAGUAAAUCAGCCUGUCACUUCCCAAAAUACAUUCUUAUCUUCCCACGUUCCAUGAAAAAACUUACAGUUACACCAUUCCUUCCCCAUUUCCCCCUUUAACUACAUCCACAUCUCCAGAUUCCAAUUUCCAUCAAGUAAUCUAACUAAUCUUGGUAAGAAAAAUCUCAUGCCUGUAGUUAAUAGGAAAUCCACUUGAGGCAUUAAGACUCAUAUUAGAUCCUUUCUCUCCUUAAGCCAAGCACUCGAUGCCCACAAACUAAGUGGAUUAAUCACAUGCCUUUUAUAUGGCACAGUAGAGCCCAGGGAAGCCCCUAAGCAUUGUUGCCUGUGACAGAACUGCUGCAGGACAUGGGAAUUUCUAUGACCCUUCCCAAGGAGAGCAGCAGUACUUCUGCUGGAAUACUCAUCUUUCAGGUUCUGAAACAUCAAGAUGCAGCUCCAGAAGAUGUUGUGAUUUUUCAUUGUUUUAUACAGGUGAAUUGGCCAGGCGGCAGAUUUCUGUUACUUGUUGACAGGCUUCCUACUGUCACAGUUCCUCAGCUCCAGACCUUCACAGCUCAGUGCCCUUCAGCACAGCUCCAGAGCCAGAAAUGCAGGCUGUGAGCAGCAUCUUCUCCUGUCCUCUGCCCCACAGUUAGGGUUGAGCACAU
Molecule: non-coding RNA, 2828 nt
Organism: Anas platyrhynchos (mallard)
Lineage: Eukaryota; Metazoa; Chordata; Aves; Anseriformes; Anatidae
Source: RefSeq, a predicted model, not a curated record